AGAAAGAAGUUUAUUAGGUUAAUGUGCUUUUUGUAUCAUGUUUCGAUAAAUGAGUCUCAGAUGAGUGGACCCGAAGUUGAACAGUAAUUUUUAUAACAAGUUAGCUUUUCGAGGUUUUAAAGUGUAGUUCUUUUGAUUAUAAGAAGAUUAUGAUAGAUAAGGUAGGUUCGAGGAUAGCUGGUGAGUUGGUUUAGAAGUCAAGUUAUUUUAGGUGGGGAAGCUGCUUAGAAAAAAAAAUUUAGAUUAAAGAGUUUAUUUUUUGUUUGGGUUGGAUGUACUUAAAUGUUAAAUUAGUCAUUAAACUUUAAGUUGAGAAGAAAGUUAAUUUAUAAAACCAAUUAGACUAAAUCUGGUUGAUUGGAUGUCGGGAUAAGUAGAUUAUGAAUUAAGUCUGAAGAACUCAAAGGACUCCCGACUGUUUUUAAAAACAUUUCCUCCAGAAACUUUGUUGGAGGUAAAUCCUGCCCGGUGAGAUUUUCUUGUUAAAGGGGUCUUUAACGGCCGCAGUAUACUUAACUGUGCGAAGGUAGCAUAAUUAGUUGUUUCUUAAAUAGAAACUUGUUUGAAAGGAUUGGUGCGAGGGGUUAUGUUUUUUGGGCUUAUUUUGGUUGAAUUUAUAGUCAGGUUAAAAAUAACUUGAAAUUUUAGUAAGAAGAGAAGACCCUAUAAAUUUUUCUUGCCUGUUAGUUUGAAGAAAGUGGGUUAAGUUUUAGUGGGACACUGUAAUUUUUAUAAUUUAUUUAGAAUGGUUAGUUAGCAAAUUAUAAAAUACUUUAGGGAUAACAGGACAAUUUGAGGCUUGAGUACAUAUUGGGCUUCAAGUUUGUUACUUCGAUGUUGAAUUAAUUUUCCUCCAGUAUGUAGGGGCAUUGGGAAGGUGGCCUGUUCGGCCAUUAAAUAAUUACAUGAUUUGAGUUGAGACCGGCGUGAGCCAGGUUGGAUUCUAUCUACUUGUAGAGAAUAAUGGUACGAAAGGACUUUGUUCUCUUGUGAGAUAA
Molecule: ribosomal RNA, 998 nt
Filed under: Syndesmis echinorum
Lineage: Eukaryota; Metazoa; Platyhelminthes; Rhabdocoela; Umagillidae
Description: 16S ribosomal RNA
Rfam family: Bacterial large subunit ribosomal RNA (bases 647-952)
Source: RNAcentral